UCACCAGAGCCCACUGAAUGGCAGCCAUGGGAAAAAGCAAAGAAAAAGGGUUGGAAGAGGAGUGUCAUUAAUUGAAAGUGAGACAAAUGGAAGUACUACAAAGAUUUGUUUGGAUCUUUCUCAGAGGAAAAGAAAAAUGUCCGUCAGUGCGAACAGAAGGAUCACUCACAUGAGAGACAAAAUAGAUUGCACUAAAAAUGCAAACUUUCUAAGCACAAGCCAGUCUGCUCCAACGUCCACCAUCUGCAUGCACCUUAACCUCAAAUUCAUGCUUUUAAUUGCUUUGCUACACCGGCACUGGAUAACUGCAACGGGUGAUGCUAUCAGCAAAUGGAAAGGGAACAGAUAAGAGGGUUUUUAAUGAGCAUUGUUUCCGAUUCUGCCUUUAGGUCUGAGCAGCCUAGUAGGCUAAUUUUCUUUCUGUGAAAGAAAUAUGAAAUGCGAUUCCACCAGCUUCUCCGUCCUAUAGAGAAAAGGGCAAGGAGAUGCAUGCGAUAGAGUUUAUUUUAAGGCACAUCUGGAUCUCAUCAGCAAGCAACAGAGUGAAUGCAGAGGACUUAGUGUGUAAUGGAAACUGCUUGGCUUCUAUCCUUCUUCAAGGAAACAUAGCUUUCCGUCUCACACCGAUUUCAGACUUUAUUUUUCUAUGGCUGAUCAUAGCAAGAGGGCUGUUCCCUGCCUCCUUUCCCUCCUUUUCCAUCAGAGGUGAGAAGUUCCAAGGGCAGCCUGACCCGGCUUUGACUUUCUCUAGAGUCUAGAGGACAGAGCACUGCAGCAAGCUCACGUGCGUGUUGCUUCAUUUGCAAAAAGUCCAAGCCAAUGGGGAGUGCAUUAGGAUUGCCCCACAUCAGAUAUUGAAGGGCUGCUUCUCCCAUCCGUAUCCCAAUGGGGUUUCUCACCCUCAGCAAGCUCAUAGUUCUCUUCUUUCUUUCUCUCUGUUUCUCAGACAGUAAAAAACACUUUUCCUUCAUAUAUCUGCCUGUCUCUUUCUCUCUCGCUGUCUCUCACACACCGUACACCAGACCCUGUCCCCUAAAUGCGUAAAGGUGGA
Molecule: long non-coding RNA, 1051 nt
Filed under: Pogona vitticeps (central bearded dragon)
Lineage: Eukaryota; Metazoa; Chordata; Lepidosauria; Squamata; Agamidae
Description: lncRNA (ENSPVIG00000025117.1)
Source: RNAcentral